GUCUUUUUGAGUUAUUUUUAAAGUCUGACCUGCCCACUGAAAUUAUUUAAAUGGCCGCAGUAUUUUAACUGUGCAAAGGUAGCAUAAUCAUUAGUCUUUUAAUUGAAGGCUGGUAUGAACGGUUGGACGAGGUAUAAGCUGUUUCAUAUAAAUUUAUAAUAGAAUUUUAUAUUUUAGUCAAAAAGCUAAAAUAUAUUUAAAAGACGAGAAGACCCUAUAAAUCUUUAUAUUUUGUGUUGUUUAAAUUUUUUGGGAUUGGUUUAUUUUUAUAAUAUAAAAUAUUUUGUUGGGGUGAUAUUAAAAUUUAAUUAACUUUUAAUUAUUUAAAAUCAUUAAUUUAUGAGUUAUUGAUCCAUUAAUAGUGAUUAUAAGAUUAAGUUACUUUAGGGAUAACAGCGUAAUUUUUUUGGAGAGUUCAUAUCGAUAAAAAAGUUUGCGACCUCGAUGUUGGAUUAAGAUAUAAUUUUAGGUGUAGUCGCUUAAAUGUUAAGUCUGUUCGACUUUUAAAUUCUU
This 513-nucleotide ribosomal RNA is filed under the name Bactrocera oleae (olive fruit fly). Its description in RNAcentral is "partial 16S ribosomal RNA". The stretch from base 389 to 513 matches the Rfam family "Bacterial large subunit ribosomal RNA", at positions 2473 to 2597 of the family's 2925-position model. The record is from RNAcentral. Lineage: Eukaryota; Metazoa; Arthropoda; Insecta; Diptera; Tephritidae.